This 254-nucleotide ribosomal RNA is filed under the name uncultured bacterium. RNAcentral's name for it is "partial 16S ribosomal RNA". It matches the Rfam family "Bacterial small subunit ribosomal RNA", at positions 524 to 776 of the family's 1533-position model. The record is from RNAcentral.
UACGGGGGGAGCAAGCGUUGUUCGGAUUUACUGGGCGUAAAGGGCGCGUAGGCGGCCACCGCAAGUCGACUGUGAAAUCUCCGGGCUUAACCCGGAAAGGUCAGCCGAUACUGCGGGGCUAGAGUGCAGAAGGGGCAACUGGAAUUCCUGGUGUAGCGGUGAAAUGCGCAGAUAUCAGGAGGAACACCGGUGGCGAAGGCGGGUCUCUGGGCCGAUACUGACGCUGAGGAGCGAAAGCGUGGGGAGCGAACAGG